UACGUAGGGGCCGAGCGUUGUCCGGAGUUAUUGGGCGUAAAGCGCGCGCAGGCGGCCUCGCGCGCCCGACGUGAAAGCCCCCGGCUUAACCGGGGAGGGUCGUUGGGGACGGCGGGGCUUGAGGGCGGGAGAGGGUGGUGGAAUUCCCGGUGUAGUGGUGAAAUGCGUAGAGAUCGGAAAGAACACCAACGGCGAAAGCACUCUGCUGGGCCGACACUGACACUGAGAGACGAAAGCUAGGGGAGCGAAUGGG
This 253-nucleotide ribosomal RNA is filed under the name uncultured bacterium. RNAcentral describes it as "partial 16S ribosomal RNA". It matches the Rfam family "Bacterial small subunit ribosomal RNA", at positions 524 to 776 of the family's 1533-position model. The record is from RNAcentral.